Molecule: ribosomal RNA, 904 nt
Filed under: Bacillus cereus
Lineage: Bacteria; Bacillati; Bacillota; Bacilli; Caryophanales; Bacillaceae
Description: bacterial SSU rRNA
Rfam family: Bacterial small subunit ribosomal RNA
Source: RNAcentral
AGUCUGACGGAGCAACGCCGCGUGAGUGAUGAAGGCUUUCGGGUCGUAAAACUCUGUUGUUAGGGAAGAACAAGUGCUAGUUGAAUAAGCUGGCACCUUGACGGUACCUAACCAGAAAGCCACGGCUAACUACGUGCCAGCAGCCGCGGUAAUACGUAGGUGGCAAGCGUUAUCCGGAAUUAUUGGGCGUAAAGCGCGCGCAGGUGGUUUCUUAAGUCUGAUGUGAAAGCCCACGGCUCAACCGUGGAGGGUCAUUGGAAACUGGGAGACUUGAGUGCAGAAGAGGAAAGUGGAAUUCCAUGUGUAGCGGUGAAAUGCGUAGAGAUAUGGAGGAACACCAGUGGCGAAGGCGACUUUCUGGUCUGUAACUGACACUGAGGCGCGAAAGCGUGGGGAGCAAACAGGAUUAGAUACCCUGGUAGUCCACGCCGUAAACGAUGAGUGCUAAGUGUUAGAGGGUUUCCGCCCUUUAGUGCUGAAGUUAACGCAUUAAGCACUCCGCCUGGGGAGUACGGGCCGCAAGGCUGAAACUCAAAGGAAUUGACGGGGGCCCGCACAAGCGGUGGGAGCAUGUGGUCUAAUUCGAAGCAACGCGAAGAACCUUACCAGGUCUUGACAUCCUCUGAAAACCCUAGAGAUAGGGCUUCUCCUUCGGAGCAAGUGACAGGUGUGCAUGGUUGUCGUCAACUCGUGUCGUGAAAUGUUGGCUUAAGUCCCGCACGAGCGCAACCCUUGAUCUAAUUGCCAUCAUUUAAUUGGGCAUCUCUAAGGUGACUGCCGGGUGACAAUCCGGAGGAAAGGUGGGAUGACGUCAAAUCAUCCAUGCCCUAUGACCUGGGCUAACCACGGUGUCCUACAUGGACCGUACAAGAGCCUGCCAGAUCCGCGAGGGUGAGCUAAUCUC